CGCAGAGCGACUAGAGGCGCGCGGUCCCGGCCAGCACCGUCUCUGGCGUUGUAGCUGCGGCCGUGGCGGAGGACUACGGCGACAAGGACGAGGGCCGCUCUCCCAGCUCUCUGCGUGCCGCGCCGCUCCGCUCCGCUGGCUGACCAUCUGGAGUGCAGGCUGGGAGGCGGGAUGGAGUGAUAGGGAAGAUGUUUAUAAAUUCUUCUGUGGGAUCAGAGGGCACGCCUAUUACAACCAGAAAACUACAAGUAUAACAGCGAGGAUGGAUGAACAGGCUCUAUUAGGGCUAAAUCCAAAUGCUGAUUCAGACUUUAGACAAAGGGCCCUGGCCUAUUUUGAGCAGUUAAAAAUUUCCCCAGAUGCCUGGCAGGUGUGUGCAGAAGCUCUAGCCCAGAGGACAUACAGUGAUGAUCAUGUGAAGUUUUUCUGCUUUCAAGUACUGGAACAUCAAGUUAAAUACAAGUAAGGCUUUUCUUACUGUUUUGACUCAGAUUUGCGGGGAGAGGUCAUUUUUUUAAUUUAAUGUUUUUCUUCCAUAAGGAAACCAUAAUACAGGUUGUAAAUUCACAGUGUAUAUGUUAUAUCCAGGUUAUAGAUACGUUUUGAUGUACCCCAAAGUGUUUUAAAAGUGCUGAGUUGGCCAGGUGAGGUGGCUCUCGCCUGUAAUCCGAGCACUUUGGGAGGCUGAGGCCGGUAGAUCACUUGAAGUCAGGAGUUUGAGACUAACCAGCCUGGCCAACAUGGUGAAACCCCGUCUCUACAAAAAAUACAGAAACUAGUCAGAUGUGGUGGCAUGCACCUGUAAUCCCAGCUACUCAGGAGACUGAGGCACGAGAAUUGCUUGAACCUGGGAGGCGGAGGUUGCAGUGAGCCGGGAUCACACCACUGCACUCCAGACUGGGUGACAGCGAGACUCCGUCUCAAAAAUAAAAAAAGUGCUGAGUUUGUUGGUUACACAUAAAAAUCCAAGGCUGGGCGCAGUGGCUCAUGCCUAUGAUCUCAGCACUUUGGGAGUCCAAGGCAAGAGGAUCGUUUGAGCUCAGGAGUUUGAGACCAGCCUAGGCAACAUAGUGAGACCUCAUCUCUACAAAAAUUUUUUUAAAAAAUUAGCCAGGCAUGAUUGCGCGCUUCUGUAUUCCCAGCUACUGGGGAAGCUGAGGCCAGGAGGUUGAGGCUCCAGUGAGCCAUGAUGGUGCCACUGCACUUCAGCCUGGGCAAUACAGCAAGACCUUGUCUC
Molecule: long non-coding RNA, 1237 nt
Filed under: Homo sapiens (human)
Lineage: Eukaryota; Metazoa; Chordata; Mammalia; Primates; Hominidae
Description: HSALNT0190506
Source: RNAcentral